GUUUCCAAUAGCUCACUUGGAUAGAGCAACGGGCUGAAAACCCGUAGGUGGCAGGUUCGAUCCCUGCUUGGAGCACCA
RNAcentral lists this transfer RNA (78 nucleotides) under Rhodopirellula sp. RNAcentral describes it as "tRNA-Phe". It matches the Rfam family "tRNA". Rfam says of the family: Transfer RNA (tRNA) molecules are approximately 80 nucleotides in length. The record is from RNAcentral. Lineage: Bacteria; Pseudomonadati; Planctomycetota; Planctomycetia; Pirellulales; Pirellulaceae.